ACCUCCCCCCGCAAUCAGAACAAACCUUUCAGGUUGGCAAAGGAGGAGGUGAGCCGGCAGGAGCUGAGACAGCGGGUCCGCAUGGCAGACAAUGAGGUCAUGGAUGCCUUCCGCAAGAUCAUGGCUGCACGGCAGAAGAAGCGUACCCCCACAAAGAAGGAAAAGGACCAGGCCUGGAAGACCCUGAAGGAGCGGGAGAGCAUCCUGAAGCUCCUAGACGGGUAGCCUUACCUGCUGCUGGCCAUCUCCCUGGCCUGGCAGAAGUCUACUUCCUCUGAAGCCUUGACCAGAGGCUGCCUAUCAAAUGACAACAGUCUCAGGGCUGAAACACUCUCAGGCCACUCAGCCGAGCUUUGUGCAGCCAGUGUGCAAGGCCUUACUGCGCUUGCCUGGACCUAGCAUCUGCCUGAUGCCCCAGAUGAGCAGGCUUGUUCCUCGUCCCCUUUCCCUCAUACCAUCUCCACACCUCUCCCUCAAGGACUUCUUCCUUGAGGUUUUGUAAAGUACAAACUUAAGAAUAAAGUGAUUGCUGUGUUUUGGUUUUUUUAAAG
Molecule: long non-coding RNA, 551 nt
Filed under: Rattus norvegicus (Norway rat)
Lineage: Eukaryota; Metazoa; Chordata; Mammalia; Rodentia; Muridae
Description: long non-coding RNA NONRATT021701
Source: RNAcentral